AUUUAAAUAAUUUAAUUAAAAUAUAAUAUUGAAGAUAUUAAAAUAACAUUUGUUUUUAAAUA
This 62-nucleotide transfer RNA is filed under the name Sycobia sp. 2 JXW-2020. RNAcentral describes it as "tRNA-Phe". Lineage: Eukaryota; Metazoa; Arthropoda; Insecta; Hymenoptera; Epichrysomallidae. The record is from RNAcentral.